Molecule: ribosomal RNA, 432 nt
Filed under: uncultured bacterium
Lineage: Bacteria
Description: partial 16S ribosomal RNA
Rfam family: Bacterial small subunit ribosomal RNA
Source: RNAcentral
ACGAACGCUGGCGGCAUGCCUAACACAUGCAAGUCGAACGAGACCUUCGGGUCUAGUGGCGCACGGGUGCGUAACGCAUGGGAACCUGCCCUUAGGUUCGGAAUAACUCCCCGAAAGGGGUGCUAAUACCGGAUAAUGUCUUCGGACCAAAGAUUUAUCGCCUUUGGAUGGGCCCGCGUUGGAUUAGCUAGUUGGUAGGGUAAAAGCCUACCAAGGCGACGAUCCAUAGCUGGUCUGAGAGGAUGAUCAGCCACACUGGGACUGAGACACGGCCCAGACUCCUACGGGAAGCAGCAGUGGGGAAUAUUGGACAAUGGGCGAAAGCCUGAUCCAGCAAUGCCGCGUGAGUGAUGAAGGCCUUAGGGUUGUAAAGCUCUUUUACCCGGGAUGAUAAUGACAGUACCGGGAGAAUAAGCUCCGGCUAACUCCGUG